GAGUGGCGAACGGGUGAGUAACACGUGGGCAACCUGCCCAAAAGAGGGGGAUAACACUUGGAAACAGGUGCUAAUACCGCAUAACCAUAGUUACCGCAUGGUAACUAUGUAAAAGGUGGCUAUGCUACCGCUUUUGGAUGGGCCCGCGGCGCAUUAGCUAGUUGGUGGGGUAAAGGCUUACCAAGGCGAUGAUGCGUAGCCGAACUGAGAGGUUGAUCGGCCACAUUGGGACUGAGACACGGCCCAAACUCCUACGGGAGGCAGCAGUAGGGAAUCUUCCACAAUGGGCGAAAGCCUGAUGGAGCAACGCCGCGUGGGUGAAGAAGGUCUUCGGAUCGUAAAACCCUGUUGUUAGAGAAGAAAGUGCGUGAGAGUAACUGUUCUCGUUUCGACGGUAUCUAACCAGAAAGCCACGGCUAACUACGUGCCAGCAGCCGCGGUAAUACGUAGGUGGCAAGCGUUAUCCGGAUUUAUUGGGCGUAAAGGGAACGCAGGCGGUCUUUUAAGUCUGAUGUGAAAGCCUUCGGCUUAACCGGAGUAGUGCAUUGGAAACUGGGAGACUUGAGUGCAGAAGAGGAGAGUGGAACUCCAUGUGUAGCGGUGAAAUGCGUAGAUAUAUAGAAGAACACCAGUGGCGAAAGCGGCUCUCUGGUCUGUAACUGACGCUGAGGUUCGAAAGCGUGGGUAGCAAACAGGAUUAGAUACCCUGGUAGUCCACGCCGUAAACGAUGAAUGCUAAGUGUUGGAGGGUUUCCGCCCUUCAGUGCUGCAGCUAACGCAAUAAGCAUUCCGCCUGGGGAGUACGACCGCAAGGUUGAAACUCAAAGG
RNAcentral lists this ribosomal RNA (828 nucleotides) under uncultured bacterium. Its description in RNAcentral is "bacterial SSU rRNA". It matches the Rfam family "Bacterial small subunit ribosomal RNA", at positions 93 to 907 of the family's 1533-position model. The record is from RNAcentral.